UACGUAGGGGGCAAGCGUUGUCCGGAAUCAUUGGGCGUAAGCGCGCGUAGGCGGCUUUGUAAGUUAGAGGUGAAGGCCCGGGGCUCAACCCCGGAAUUGCCUUUAAGACUGCAUCGCUUGAAUCCGGGAGAGGUGAGUGGAAUUCCGAGUGUAGAGGUGAAAUUCGUAGAUAUUCGGAAGAACACCAGUGGCGAAGGCGGCUCACUGGACCGGCAUUGACGCUGAGGUGCGAAAGCGUGGGGAGCAAACAGG
RNAcentral lists this ribosomal RNA (252 nucleotides) under uncultured bacterium. RNAcentral describes it as "partial 16S ribosomal RNA". It matches the Rfam family "Bacterial small subunit ribosomal RNA", at positions 524 to 776 of the family's 1533-position model. The record is from RNAcentral.